CCCUUAGACGUUCUGGGCCGCACGCGCGCUACACUGACCAGUGCAACAAGCAUCCGUCCUUGGCCGACAGGCUCGGGCAAUCUUUGAACGCUGGUCGUGAUGGGGAUAGACUUUUGCAAUUUUUGGUCUUCAACGAGGAAUUCCUAGUAAACGCAAGUCAUCAACUUGCAUUGAUUACGUCCCUGCCCUUUGUACACACCGCCCGUCGCACCUACCGAUUGAAUGGUUUAGUGAGAUCCUUGGAUUGGUCCCGGGAUGGUGGGAAACUGCCGCUCCGGUGUGCUGAGAAGACGAUCAAACUUGAUCAUUUAGAGGAAGUAAAAGUCGUAACA
Molecule: ribosomal RNA, 332 nt
Filed under: uncultured eukaryote
Lineage: Eukaryota
Description: partial 18S ribosomal RNA
Rfam family: Eukaryotic small subunit ribosomal RNA
Source: RNAcentral